UCAUGGGUGCUGAAAGGCUGAGAUUGCUCGCAAGAGGGAACCAUUUAACCUGAUACGGAUAAUGCCGGCGUAGGGAGAUUGAAUU
RNAcentral lists this non-coding RNA (85 nucleotides) under human gut metagenome. The record is from RNAcentral.